GCUGCAGCAAACAGACGAACCUCUGGCUUUACCACCUCUCUCUAUUCUAUAUAUUGGAGCUAAACGACCUAACGAUCCUCUAGGGUACUGCUUUCUCGUGUCUCUGCUUCCUAACGAAUACCACGGCCUGCCUCUGUCUCUCUUCCCUAUUACUACUACUCUGCUCUUUCACUCAUCCAUCAUCUAUGUUGCUGUGCUUCUUCUGCUUCCAUCCCUAUUUUAUACUGGUUGUGCGCCGCUGCUCCCAAUGAUCACUUCCCUCUCUGCUGUCUCUACUACAUAAUAAUAACCUUCUCUCUCACUUGUUUCUGUCCCAUCUUACUUACUAUAUCAUCCGUUCAUCGACACUACUACUUAUUAUUAGUGCUAGUAGUUAGUGUGUUGGGCUCUGUGUCUCUGCUAUCUCUUGUGCUUGUUAUCCAUAGACUAACCAACCAUCUAUAUAACCCUCUAGGCCUGCUCACUACUUAAUAGGUCUAUCAUCUAUCCGGAUGUGUGUUAUCAGUGUCUGUCUUAUCGCCAAGCAGUAACGAUACAAGAGCUCCAGUUAACGAUACAACCGAAGAGAAGAGAAGCUAGCAUCUAGUUCCCGGGGCCCAUACUUAAACUAGUAAGUAGUGUGUGCUGUCAGUGCUUUUUUGUCCCCGUAGUGGUGUCACAGGAAAGAACGAACGCACAGAAGAUGCAUGAGCGAUAUGGCAACUCUCUGUGUCGAUGGAAGACCUGUGACCAUGGACUAACAACAAAAGACUAGCACGAAAUACGAGAACGACGACGACUCUAU
Molecule: long non-coding RNA, 784 nt
Filed under: Amborella trichopoda
Lineage: Eukaryota; Viridiplantae; Streptophyta; Magnoliopsida; Amborellales; Amborellaceae
Description: long non-coding RNA (ATRI_LNC000947)
Source: RNAcentral